Molecule: ribosomal RNA, 371 nt
Filed under: Escherichia coli
Lineage: Bacteria; Pseudomonadati; Pseudomonadota; Gammaproteobacteria; Enterobacterales; Enterobacteriaceae
Description: partial 23S ribosomal RNA
Rfam family: Bacterial large subunit ribosomal RNA
Source: RNAcentral
UCGCUGUGAAGAUGCAGUGUACCCGCGGCAAGACGGAAAGACCCCGUGAACCUUUACUAUAGCUUGACACUGAACAUUGAGCCUUGAUGUGUAGGAUAGGUGGGAGGCUUUGAAGUGUGGACGCCAGUCUGCAUGGAGCCGACCUUGAAAUACCACCCUUUAAUGUUUGAUGUUCUAACGUGGGCCCCUUACCGGGGUUGCGGACAGUGUCUGGUGGGUAGUUUGACUGGGGCGGUCUCCUCCUAAAGAGUAACGGAGGAGCACGAAGGUUGGCUAAUCCUGGUCGGACAUCAGGAGGUUAGUGCAAUGGCAUAAGCCAGCUUGACUGCGAGCGUGACGGCGCGAGCAGGUGCGAAAGCAGGUCAUAGUGA